UCCAAGCUCUUCUGUGUCGGUAUCUCCUGGAAUUGUUCUGUGUGGAGUAGAGGUCUGUGAUUGCAUUUUGCUCCUUCAUUUUGUCAUUUUCAGAGAUGCAGAGGUUCCCUGGAGCUCAGCCUCACACCCAGGAUGAUGUCAGAGUAGCCGGUCAAGGACCCAAGGGUCCCCGGUGCUUGGUGUGACUCCCUUGAUGGUGUGUGUCGGUGGAGUGUGAUCCCAAUGCUCCCACAGCUGUCCGGGGCUCAGCUUGGCUCCCACUCAGGGGUUCCCAGAGCUGUCCAGGUUUCAGCCCUGUUUCCACUGGGGUGUAGUAGUGGGCGGGUCGUGGUCACCGCGGCUGCAUACACUGCCCAUACCCCACCCGGUUCCCACACCAGUGUGUGUGUGGGGUAAGUGUUCAGUCACGCAGGCCCCUGAAGCUGUUUGAGUUUCAGCUUAGCUCCCCUGAGGGUGUGGGGUGGGGGCAGGAAGGGCAUUCUUGAAGUUGUCUGGGGCUCCCCGUGGCUCCCAAGCUGGUGGGGCAGAUGUGAGGCUGGCUCACCUGCGUUCCUGAAGCUGUCGGAGGUUCAACUCAGCUCCAACGGGGGAAGCGGGGAGGAGGAGAGGGGCCGGGAGUGGACCCCAGCCCCCCGAAGCUGUCCGUGUUUCUGCCUGGCUCCCAAGCUCAUGAGAAAAGGGCGGCAGUGGCUCAUCUGCUUUCUGGAAGUUGUAGGAGGUUCAACUCUUUUUUUUUUUUUGAGACAGGAUCUCCCUGUGUAGCUGAAGCUAGCUUUGAAUUUAGUAUGUAGCCCAGGCUGGCCUUGCACUCACGGCAAUCCUCCUGCCUCAGCCUCCCAAGUGCUGGGUUUAUAGGUGCGUGCCACCACACCCGGCUGAAUUUGCUUUAGUGGCACCUCAGAUACUUGUUUGUUUUUGGUGAUGCUGAGACUGAACCCAGACCCUCAUACAGCUAGGCACGCACUCUACCACUGAGCUAUACCUCUAACUACAGACUCAAAUGCCUUAAAAAUAAGAUGGCAUACCAACAAGCCAAAUAUAUUUGCCAAGACACAAAUGAGGGUUCUUAGGGUUUACAUUUUCCAAACUGGCUUAGGGAUGUUGGAAAGGUUUGGAAUUAAGGAGUUAUAACAAAGGGUCCAACAACCUAUGUGUAUUCCAGGCUUCGUUUGUGGAGAAGUGAUUCUUGUGUUAGUGUUAUUUUUCAAAUAAAUGUGGCUUAUAAACUGCAGCGUGUUACUGAACAUUUUGUUAUUUUUUGAUUUCUGAGGUGUAGAUAUGAUGGGAAGAGAUCAUAUUUUAAAACACUGGGACCCAAUCUUUCUUUGGCUGAUACAUUGCCUGGGUUGCCGUUCACUGGUGACUUCUGAGUUUUACGGUAUCCUCUGUAUCGCAACAUGUCCAUUCCGUGAAGGUACUGCAGCUUCUGGGAUGCCACGAGUUUAGCUACCACUUACCUUGACGAAACCACCAACAUAAGUCGACAUCAUGAACAACAGGAUUCAGGAAUCCAGGCUACAGUAUCCCUGACCAGCACACAGGAAGGACGGUCCACCUGUGCCAGACUCCGGACAAAGGUGAUGGUGUGGAAAGGUUCAGUAAAUUUGGGUGCACAGCUAUGAUUUCAGUGCAAUAAGGACUGACUAAUCUAAUAGAACUUACUCUGGGGUUCAGGCUCAGUUUCUCCAGUUUCUAGGAAGAAAAUCCCCUACAGGAAGAUUAAACCUAGAUAUUUUUAUUAAGAUAUUAUUGAGAUAGAUGAAGCGAACACCCUCUGAAAGAAAUAAUAGAGCAAACCCCACAGUUGGGAACUGUAUGAGCCACAAGAAUACAACUCUGAUAUAUUCUGCAUGAUGCAGGCCUCACUUUGUUAGGGCUGGCACCUGUCCUGAUGGCGAGUAUAUCUUUUUUUAAGAUAAAAGCUUCAAGGAAUUCUAUGUCUUAAAGGGAAGAUUUCUGGGGGAUCCUUUUAAAUCUGGUUUUGCCUUAUAAUUACUGUAAAAGAUUUGUACAAAAAUAUAAAAGGCAUGGCUUGAUGGUUAACAUCUGUGUUUUAUUGUUGUUGGCACCAGAAAAGCUCAUGUUCUAUGUUAUGUCACUGUACAUACUGUAAACAAGACUGCAUUAAUAUUGUUUUCUUAUGAUUUCUUGUUUCAAUGAAUCUAGAUUUUAAAAAAUACAUUCACAAACUACCUUAUGUUUGAACACAAUGAUUCCCUUUUAUUUCUUAACUGUACCCAAAAUUCCCACAAUAAAAAAUCAUUUAAAGCUG
This is a long non-coding RNA of Chinchilla lanigera (long-tailed chinchilla), 2272 nucleotides long. RefSeq lists it as uncharacterized. The record is from RefSeq and is a predicted model, not a curated record. The transcript is spliced from 2 exons. NCBI's taxonomy places the organism in Eukaryota, Metazoa, Chordata, Mammalia, Rodentia, Chinchillidae.